Molecule: long non-coding RNA, 447 nt
Organism: Passer domesticus (house sparrow)
Lineage: Eukaryota; Metazoa; Chordata; Aves; Passeriformes; Passeridae
Exons: 4
Source: RefSeq, a predicted model, not a curated record
CUAUGGUCCUUGAAGUCUACAAGCUUUUGUAUCCCAUUCAUAAUGUAUUCAAUGAGAAGCAUAUAAAAAACAAUGGGGUAGAUGUUAAAAAAUUGGAAGUGAGCACAGAAGAACAUACUGAAGGGCAUUUUGAUGUGGCCACUGGGAAAGGAUGAGAGCAGCAGAUCAAGUCACAGCACAUGCUGAGGAUGACAUAAAAGUAAGGAUAACAAGUUCACUAAGAUCAUACCAGAGCCUGAUCUCAGUGCCUUUCAAUGGGAGUAUUACACUUCUGCCCAAAUUGUACAGAGAUUAUGAAUCCUGUAGACCCACUGCUGUUCUUUCUGUGCUUUGCAGCAGAGUGUUGUGCUUCUUUCAAAAGAAGUGAGAGUUCAAGAAGAUUGCCUCCUCUCACUGACUCUGUCACAUUAAGGUGUCUGAAAGAUAUUGAAGGUGAUACAAUACAGC